Molecule: long non-coding RNA, 2697 nt
Organism: Quercus lobata
Lineage: Eukaryota; Viridiplantae; Streptophyta; Magnoliopsida; Fagales; Fagaceae
Exons: 3
Source: RefSeq, a predicted model, not a curated record
AGCAAAUAAAGAAAUUAAGUGGCAAAUCAAGUUGAUGGGGUACAGUUGGAUAUAUAUAUAUCUUGCUUCUUGCUUCCACUUACAAAAGAAAAAAAAAUCUCAUUCCUCUCUUGCUUUUCCUCUUAUAACCGAGUUUGUAUUGCUCAGAUUCUCAUUUUCCUUACUCAAAAUAUUUUUCUCUCUCAAGAAAAAAAUCCCAACAAAACCCCCACCAUUUUGAAGCAAAUCUCAUUACUUUCCAACCAUUAAUUUAGGUAAAUCUUAUUCUUAAGCUCAGUACUCUACAAGUUUUUUGAUGGAGGGUACCUUCCUCUAUUGUUUGCCUCGACUCCUGUGACCAUUAUGUAUUUAUGAAACUAUGGCUACCAAAAGAAGUACAAGUAUGAACUAGACAACAAAGAUUCUACUCAUAAAUUGGUGGAGGUAGCCUCUGAUCUAAGCAUCCAUCGUGUCCUAGGUGUUGCUCUACUUUACACUGAGCUUGUCCAUGGAAAUUCCCCUAUAUUCAUUCACUAUGUUGCGAAUGUACUACCUUUACACUCAGUUCUUGUCUUUGUUUCAAUCAAGUAUCCAACCAUUAGCAUAGUCGCCCCAGAGGAACGAUUUUUGUUUGAACGAAUAGAGCAUUAUGAGCUAGGCAUUUUCCGAUGUAUUGUGAGGUAUGGAUAUAAGGAUUCAAGAUUUGAAUGGGAGUUUUUUAAGGAGAUGUUGGUGAAUCAAUUGAAGGAGUUCAUACGAAAUGAUGUGCUCAAGCUUGAUGAAUUAGAUGAUAACAACAAAGUAGAAAAGAUUGAUGAAGAAAUGAUGUAAAGAGAGGUGGGAACUGUGGAUGAUGCACUAAUAUUUGGAGAUGUUUAUCAAAUAGGUAAAAAUGAAGUGAUGGAUUCAAAGAGGUCUAGCUUUUCGAAGAAGUUAGCUAUAAACUAUGUCUAUAAUUGGUUGAUGUGUAAGACAGGCAGAUGAAGUUUUCAUGAUUCCUCGCAGGCGUCUUCUCAAGGUGGGAAUGACUUAUAAGCAUGUGGGAGAUAAUACUUGGUGAAGUGCAUUAGUGGUUCAGUAAGAGAUGCUUAUGAUCAAAACCAGACAAUUCAGGUCAAGAUUGUUGAUUAUCUUGGUGGAAUACCGUCUCCCCCUUCAGCUUUCAACACCACCACGGUUUUAUCCAACACAACUUUUGGGUCCAUUACAAAUUUAGCUACUUCUUCUCUCUCUAUCAAUAUUGAAUAUCAACCGGUAUGAUAUGUGGGAAAUAACAUGACUUGGACAUCAAUUCAUAUUCAACUUGGUUUGUUGGACUGAGUUUUAAACAAAUUUCUUUAAGGCUGCUAUAUAGAAAUUUGAAAUGGUUUUUCAUGCCAUUAGCAAACUAAAGUUGAAAGAAAAUCACAACAAACUUAUCAAAAUCUCUAGACCUCAUAAUUCAUUCCCACCUUGAGAAGACGCUUGCGAGGAAUCAUGAAAACUUCAUCUGCCUACCUCACACAUCUUUUCAACCAAUUACAAGCAUAGUUUAUAGCUAACUUCUUCAAAAAGCUAGACCCCUUUGAAGCCAUCACUUCAUUUUCACCUAUUAGAUAAACAACAUCCCCAAAUUUUAGUGCAUCAUCCAUAAUUCUCAUCUCUCUUUGCCCCAUUUCUACUUCGUUGUUAUCAGCUAAUUCAUUAGGCUUGAGCACAUCAUUUUGUAUGAGCUCCUUCAAUUGAUUCACCAACAUCUCCUCAAAAAACUCCUACUCAAAUAUUGAAUCCUCAUAUACAUACCUUACAACUCAUCGGAAAAUACCUAGCUCAUAAUGCCCUAUUUGUACAAACAAAAAGCGUUCUUUUGGAGGGACUGUGCUAAUGAUUAGAUACUUGAUUGAAACAAAGACAAGAACUGAGUGUAAAGCUAGUACAUUCGCAACAUAGUGAGUGAAGGGAAAAUUUCAUAAACAAGCUCAGUGUAAAAUAGAGCAACACCCAGGACACGAUGGAUGCUUGGUUCAAAGGCUACCUCCACCAAUUUAUGAGUAGAAACUUUGUUGUCUAGUUCAUAUUGUACUUCUUCCAGUAGCCAUAGUUCCAUAAAUACAUAAUGGUCACAAGUGUCAAGGCAAACAAUAGAGGAAGGCACCCUCCAUCAACAAACUUAUGGGAUACUGAGCUCAUGAAUAAGAUUUACCUAAAUUAAUGGUGGGAGCGUAAUUAGAUUUGCUUCAAAAUGGUGGGGGUGUUGUUGGAGAUUUUUUCUUGAGAGAGAAAAAUAUUUUCAGAGAAAAAAAUAAGAGUUUGGGCAAUACAAACUCGGUUAUAAAAGGAAAAGUAAGAGAGGAAUGAGGUUUUUUUUUUUUCUUUUGUAAGUGGAAGCAAGAAGCAAGAAGCAAGAUAUAUAUAUACACACACAACUAUACCCCCAUCAACUUGAUUUUCCACUUAAUUUCUUUAUUUGCUUUUCUCAGCAACUACUUUUCAUGACACUUAAAUAAAGCAUUAAUCAAGUAAGGGGCAACAAAUUUCUAAAAAAAAAAAAAAGGUUAUGGGCAACAAAUAGAUAGGAGAAAUGAGAAUCACACUUCCUAAAUGAGAUACAAAUUUUUGAUAUUUUUUGAUGAAAUAAUAUUCAUUUUAUACACUGUAAGGACACUAUUUGUAACGACCCGAAAUGAUAUUGGGUUCGCACGUAAAAAGGCCCAAACAAUAUCAUUUAUAGAGUGUGGG